Molecule: RNA transcript, 2993 nt
Organism: Glycine soja
Lineage: Eukaryota; Viridiplantae; Streptophyta; Magnoliopsida; Fabales; Fabaceae
Gene name: heterogeneous nuclear ribonucleoprotein Q-like
Exons: 6
Source: RefSeq, a predicted model, not a curated record
AGAAGGCCCGGUUCAAAGGCCCAUGCCAAAAUCCCCCCGACGCCGCCGAGCAACAGUGAAUUUGGCCACCAUAAGAGCGCGCGCGCAAAGGAUUAGAGUUUCGAACAUAACGAUUUUGGAGCUUCCAUUUCGAUUUCGACUUCGACUUGCGCACAAUCAGUUACUUUCGCUUCUCUUGCUGUAGUUCUUAAUAAUGCACAAUUUCGCAGGCUUUACUAUUUUUCUUUUAUCUCGUAAAUUCGUAAUCUUGCGAAAGAAAUAGAAGAAAUCAUGUGCCCUUAGUUUUAUUGAUAUUCCAUGAGAUUAACUAGGCUAUUCUACGUAGCAAAUCGUUCAAUUGGAACCGUUUGGUAGAGGUAUGGUUCUUAGACAGCACAUUAUCGUUUGAAAUUUCGUAGUAAAGGCUCUAUAUUUCAUAGGGAGCAGUAACAUUGUUUUUCAUAUCUCAAAAGAACUGAGAUAAUAUGACGUAUCUUAGUCUCCAAUAAAACCUAGUUAAGGAGGGAGAGCUUUGGAGUAGAAUGUAUUGCUCUUUAGUUUUUACUUUUAAUUUAUCUGCCUCUCUAUAUUAUCUAUUUUUUUAUGUAUAUUUUGUAUACAGUUCAGUUUCUUAUUUCUUACUUUUGUUCCUUUUCCACCUUGUUCUCUGUGUAUAUUGUCCUCCGACAAAUAGUUAAACUAUAAUUAAAUUGGCCUCUAUUUUGUGGGCAACUCUCAGCAUCUUAGUUAAUUCAUUUCUCCAUAGAUGUUUUUAUCUUUGAUUGGCCUGUUGAGCAUUGUUAUCCUCUUGAAUUUUUGUUUGGAGUUCUCUCAUGCCUAUCUCUGUUACUUUUGUUGUUAUGCUAUGAUGACCCCUGGAUUAAAAAUCAACCAUAUUGCUACUCCUUGGUCCAUACCUCAUGCAACAGAUUCAAUCAAAAUUCUUACUCUGCUAUUCCAUUUGGUCUCUCAUAUUGUUUCCCCCUUACAUAUUUGCUAUCUCUCUUCUAUGAAUGCUUCUGGCAUCUGUGCUUCCUUCACAGUUCCCCUGCAAGUUUGCUUUUCUAGAUGCAAAAAAUGCCUGGGACGAGGCAGAGAGAUACAGCUCAAAAUCUAGAGUCACCAGAGGGGAACAGUGAGCUUGAGAAACCUACAGAUUCUGAUGAGCAAGUAGACUUUGAUGGGGACAAUGAUCAAGAGGAGACAAUGGAGGAAGUUGAGUAUGAAGAAGUAGAGGAGGAGGAAGAAGAGAAGUUGAGAAAAAGAAGCAUGCUGAGCUUCUUGCACUUCCACCUCAUGGGUCUGAGGUUUACAUUGGGGGCAUUUCUCCAAAUGUUUCCGAAGAAGAUUUGAGGGUCUUCUGUCAAUCCGUGGGAGAAGUUUCAGAGGUUAGGAUAAUGAAGGGAAAAGAAACCAGUGAAGCAAAAGGUUAUGCUUUUGUGACCUUCAAGACAAAGGAAUUGGCAUAUAAGGCUAUUAAGGAGCUGAACAACUCUGAAUUUAAGGUAAAAUUAGUGUAUGUAAAGAACCUUCCAGAAAACAUUACUCAGGAUCGUCUUAAGGAGCUGUCUGAACAUCAUGGAAAGAUCACAAAAGUGGUUCUCCCUUCUGCUAAAACCGGGCAAGAAAAGAGCAGAUUUGGUUUUGUUCACUUUGCUGAAAGGUCAAGUGCCAUGAAGGCUUUGAAGAACGCAGAGAAAUAUGAAAUUGAUGGACAAACGUUGGAGUGUUCACUAGCAAAGCCACAAGCAAAUUCACAUAAGCCAGCUGUACUUCCUGCUUAUCCACCUCAUCUUGGUUAUGGUGGUAUGAUUGGUAGUGCUAUAGGUGCAGGAUUUGGUACUGCUGGCUUUGCACAAGUUGCUCUUCGCCUGGUAGAAUUCAACCUUUUAGUUUUGCAGUAUUCUAAAUAAAGCUGAGGGUUGGAGGUUAGCCAGAAAUAUGCUUCCCAUGAACUCACUGCUGCAACUGUGCUGUCUCACCUUGAUAGGUUACAGGAGUGAGUUGCACUUAAUUGUAAAGCAUGAAAUUUUUUAUCAAUUUGGAUGAUUAAUGCCUUCAACUGUCCAACUUAAUUUUACUUGCUGUAAAUGAUCCCCAACUUUUAGUUUGUUUUUUCUUUAAUUUACUUGUAGAUGGACUUGUGUUGCCCUCAUCCCGUGGAGAAACAGGUUAACAUGAUCUUCAAUUUGUGGAUUAAGGGUCUCUUGACAAGUUGGAACAUGUAUUGAUAUCUAUGUUAAUUAUAUUAUCAUAUGUAUUGGUAAUAGAUAUGAAUCACAGUAACCAACCCCUUGUGGCAUGGCAAUGAUGCCGAUGAUUUUAUCAGAUGGAAGGAUUGCAUACAUAGUGCAACAGCCAGGGUUUCAACAGCCUGCUCCAAUGCCAGUAUCCCGACAUGGGAGGAGUGGUGGCGGUAGCUCAAGUGGUGGGAAAUGCAGUAAUGAUAAUAACAGCAAUCGUGGACAUGGCCGCUAUCAUCCCUACUAACUUGGGCUUUAAGGAGCUAGGAAAUGGAGGUUUGUUCCUGCUUGUUAGUGGUUUACCUCCACCAAUGCUGAAUAAAGCUUUGUCGCUGAACAGAUAAAAAAUUCUGGAGAACAAAUCCAGGGAAAUGAAAUUACAAUUCAAUUCAUCAAUUGCACUUGAGGCCUAAAAGUGUUGACGAUUCAAGGCACGGAGCCCAACCGAUUAAAAGACAAAUAGGGCGCUGCUAUGAACGAAGUUAUGAUUUUGAUACAUCUGCCUAAGGCCAAGAUUCAGUUAAGCAUCUAAGCCAGCUUUUCGUAUAAUUUUACUUGUCCUUCAAUUUUUUGUUCUCAAAUUCUUAAAGAUACCACAGUGAUCUGAUGGACACGAUAAAUCUUACUAGAUUGAUGAAAAAUUUGGUAGAGGUGUUUCAGAUGUUUUGCUAGCGGUUCAUGUAUUCAUGUUUCUAACCGUCGUUCUAGAAGAAUUGGAACGAUGUUUGAAUGAGUAUUGGUGCCAGUGCAACACAAACUCCUCUUAUCUAA